RNAcentral lists this ribosomal RNA (1036 nucleotides) under Kluyvera cryocrescens. RNAcentral describes it as "bacterial SSU rRNA". It matches the Rfam family "Bacterial small subunit ribosomal RNA", at positions 34 to 1062 of the family's 1533-position model. The record is from RNAcentral. Lineage: Bacteria; Pseudomonadati; Pseudomonadota; Gammaproteobacteria; Enterobacterales; Enterobacteriaceae.
CCGUGCCGGCAGCUUACCAUGCAGUCGAACGGUAGCACAGAGAGCUUGCUCUCGGGUGACGAGUGGCGGACGGGUGAGUAAUGUCUGGGAAACUGCCCGAUGGAGGGGGAUAACUACUGGAAACGGUAGCUAAUACCGCAUAACGUCGCAAGACCAAAGUGGGGGACCUUCGGGCCUCACACCAUCGGAUGUGCCCAGAUGGGAUUAGCUAGUAGGUGGGGUAAUGGCUCACCUAGGCGACGAUCCCUAGCUGGUCUGAGAGGAUGACCAGCCACACUGGAACUGAGACACGGUCCAGACUCCUACGGGAGGCAGCAGUGGGGAAUAUUGCACAAUGGGCGCAAGCCUGAUGCAGCCAUGCCGCGUGUAUGAAGAAGGCCUUCGGGUUGUAAAGUACUUUCAGCGAGGAGGAAGGCAUUAAGGUUAAUAACCUUAGUGAUUGACGUUACUCGCAGAAGAAGCACCGGCUAACUCCGUGCCAGCAGCCGCGGUAAUACGGAGGGUGCAAGCGUUAAUCGGAAUUACUGGGCGUAAAGCGCACGCAGGCGGUCUGUCAAGUCGGAUGUGAAAUCCCCGGGCUCAACCUGGGAACUGCAUUCGAAACUGGCAGGCUAGAGUCUUGUAGAGGGGGGUAGAAUUCCAGGUGUAGCGGUGAAAUGCGUAGAGAUCUGGAGGAAUACCGGUGGCGAAGGCGGCCCCCUGGACAAAGACUGACGCUCAGGUGCGAAAGCGUGGGGGAGCAAACAGGAUUAGAUACCCUGGUAGUCCACGCCGUAAACGAUGUCGACUUGGAGGUUGUUCCCUUGAGGAGUGGCUUCCGGAGCUAACGCGUUAAGUCGACCGCCCUGGGGAGUACGGCCGCAAGGUUAAAACUCAAAUGAAUUUGACGGGGGGCCCGCACAAGCGGUGGGAGCAUGUGGUUUAAUUCGAUGCAACGCGAAAGACCUUUACCUAGCUCUUGACUUCCAGAGAAUUUAGCAAAAUGCCUUUGUGCCCUUCGGGAACUCUGAAACAGGUGCUUGCAGUGGUCUGCCUU